GAGGGAGGGAGGCGACGGCACCGGCACCGGGACGGGUUGGACCGGAGCGGAGCGGGCCCAGCGGGGCGCUGGGUCGGGCCGAGCCCCUCAGGUGCUGUCCCAGCGCCCCGCUCCUGGCUAACCAGCACCAGUUCUUCAGUGGCAAGCUUUAUGUCCUUCUCUAGUAGCUAAAGCUGCCAGUUGAAGAACUGUUGAAUGUAGCCACACUCAUCACCGGGACCUUGGAUGCUGGCCGGACCUGCGCCCUCAGCAACCGGGAUGAGCAGCGUUUGAAGGCUGAGGAUGAGUGUAACCGGGAUGAAGGCGUCUCCUUCAGACAGAGCCGUGGUGCUGAGCUGAGGGCUGCCUAGAGAAGACCAAAAGAGGCAUUAAACUUUAUGUGCUCCUCAACA
Long non-coding RNA from Pezoporus occidentalis (night parrot), 392 nucleotides. RefSeq lists it as uncharacterized. The transcript is spliced from 2 exons. Lineage: Eukaryota; Metazoa; Chordata; Aves; Psittaciformes; Psittacidae. The record is from RefSeq and is a predicted model, not a curated record.